UAAGUACCAGAUUUAUGUAUGAGAGGCCGUCUAGCUCACAACUCAUACUUGGUCUUACAAACAAUGUCAGAAUCUCAAAUUUACACCACCAGACUCUUUC
Long non-coding RNA from Notothenia coriiceps (black rockcod), 100 nucleotides. RefSeq lists it as uncharacterized. The record is from RefSeq and is a predicted model, not a curated record. Lineage: Eukaryota; Metazoa; Chordata; Actinopteri; Perciformes; Nototheniidae. The transcript has 3 exons.